This 28-nucleotide non-coding RNA is filed under the name Mus musculus (house mouse). Lineage: Eukaryota; Metazoa; Chordata; Mammalia; Rodentia; Muridae. The record is from RNAcentral.
UGAAAUGGUAUAGCAAGGCUUUGUUUUG